RNAcentral lists this ribosomal RNA (706 nucleotides) under uncultured bacterium. RNAcentral describes it as "bacterial SSU rRNA". It matches the Rfam family "Bacterial small subunit ribosomal RNA", at positions 97 to 817 of the family's 1533-position model. The record is from RNAcentral.
GGCGGACGGGUGAGUAACGCGUAAGGAACUUGCCUCUUGGACUGGGACAACUGUUGGAAACGACAGCUAAUACCGGAUAUUAUGAGAUUCUCGCAUGAGAAAUUUAUGAAAGCUAUAUGCGCCAAGAGAGAGCCUUGCGUUCCAUUAGCUAGUUGGUGGGGUAACGGCCCACCAAGGCGACGAUGGAUAGCCGGCCUGAGAGGGUGAACGGCCACAAGGGGACUGAGACACGGCCCUUACUCCUACGGGAGGCAGCAGUGGGGAAUAUUGGACAAUGGGCCACAAGCCUGAUCCAGCAAUUCUGUGUGCACGAUGAAAGUCUUCGGAUUGUAAAGUGCUUUCAGUUGGGAAGAAGAAAGUGACGGUACCAACAGAAGAAGCGACGGCUAAAUACGUGCCAGCAGCCGCGGUAAUACGUAUGUCGCAAGCGUUAUCCGGAUUUAUUGGGCGUAAAGCGCGUCUAGGCGGAAAAAUAAGUCUGAUGUUAAAAUGCGGGGCUCAACUCCGUAUUGCGUUGGAAACUGUUUUUCUAGAGUACUGGAGAGGUGGGCGGAACUACAAGUGUAGAGGUGAAAUUCGUAGAUAUUUGUAGGAAUGCCGAUGGAGAAGUCAGCUCACUGGACAGAUACUGACGCUGAAGCGCGAAAGCGUGGGGAGCAAACAGGAUUAGAUACCCUGGUAGUCCACGCCGUAAACGAUGAUCACU